RNAcentral lists this ribosomal RNA (465 nucleotides) under uncultured bacterium. Its description in RNAcentral is "partial 16S ribosomal RNA". It matches the Rfam family "Bacterial small subunit ribosomal RNA", at positions 339 to 795 of the family's 1533-position model. The record is from RNAcentral.
CUACGGGAUGCAGCAGUGGGGAAUAUUGGACAAUGGGGGAAACCCUGAUCCAGCAAUGCCGCGUGUGCGAAGAAGGCCUGCGGGUUGUAAAGCACUUUCGGUUGGGAGGACUGCUUCUAGCACUAAUAUUGUUGGAAGUUGACGUUACCUUCAGAAGAAGCACCGGCUAACUCCGUGCCAGCAGCCGCGGUAAUACGGAGGGUGCAAGCGUUAAUCGGAAUUACUGGGCGUAAAGCGCGCGUAGGCGGCUAGAUCAGUCGGGUGUGAAAGCCCCGGGCUUAACCUGGGAACUGCAUCCGAUACUGUCUAGCUUGAGUACAGGGGAGGAGAGUGGAAUUCCACAUGUAGCGGUGAAAUGCGUAGAUAUGUGGAGGAACACCAAUGGCGAAGGCAGCUCUCUGGCCUGAUACUGACGCGGAGGUGCGAAAGCGUGGGGAGCAAACAGGAUUAGAUACCCUCGUAGUC